UAGCGGGAGGCUUAACACAUGCAAGUCGAGGGGCAGCACGAGGUAGCAAUACUUUGGUGGCGACCGGCGCACGGGUGAGUAACACGUAUGCAACCUACCCUGUACAGGGGGAUAGCCCGGAGAAAUUCGGAUUAAUACCCCAUGAUUAUAUCGAGAGGCAUCUUUUGAUAUUUAAAGUUUCGACGGUACAGGAUGGGCAUGCGCAACAUUAGCUAGUUGGUAGGGUAACGGCCUACCAAGGCUACGAUGUUUAGGGGACCUGAGAGGGUGAUCCCCCACACUGGUACUGAGACACGGACCAGACUCCUACGGGAGGCAGCAGUGAGGAAUAUUGGUCAAUGGGCGUAAGCCUGAACCAGCCAUCCCGCGUGAAGGAAGAAGGCGCUAUGCGUUGUAAACUUCUUUUCCAGAGGAAGAAAACCCCUGACGAGUCAGGGCUUGCCGGUACUCUGGGAAUAAGCAUCGGCUAACUCCGUGCCAGCAGCCGCGGUAAUACGGAGGAUGCGAGCGUUAUCCGGAUUUAUUGGGUUUAAAGGGUGCGUAGGCGGAUUAAUAAGUCAGUGGUGAAAACCUUCAGCUUAACUGGAGACUUGCCAUUGAUACUGUUAGUCUUGAGUACGGUCAAGGUAGGCGGAAUGUGUAAUGUAGCGGUGAAAUGCUUAGAUAUUACACAGAACACCGAUUGCGAAGGCAGCUUACUGGGCCAUUACUGACGCUGAUGCACGAAAGCGUGGGGAGCGAACAGGAUUAGAUACCCUGGUAGUCCACGCCGUAAACGAUGAUCACUCGCUGUUGGCGAUACACAGUCAGCGGCUAAGCAAAAGCAUUAAG
RNAcentral lists this ribosomal RNA (831 nucleotides) under uncultured bacterium. RNAcentral describes it as "bacterial SSU rRNA". It matches the Rfam family "Bacterial small subunit ribosomal RNA", at positions 37 to 864 of the family's 1533-position model. The record is from RNAcentral.